AUUGAACGCUGGCGGCAGGCCUAACACAUGCAAGUCGAGCGGAUGAAGGGAGCUUGCUCCUGGAUUCAGCGGCGGACGGGUGAGUAAUGCCUAGGAAUCUGCCUGGUAGUGGGGGAUAACGUCCGGAAACGGGCGCUAAUACCGCAUCCGUCCUGAGGGAGAAAGUGGGGGAUCUUCGGACCUCACGCUAUCAGAUGAGCCUAGGUCGGAUUAGCUAGUUGGUGGGGUAAAGGCCUACCAAGGCGACGAUCCGUAACUGGUCUGAGAGGAUGAUCAGUCACACUGGAACUGAGACACGGUCCAGACUCCUACGGGAGGCAGCAGUGGGGAAUAGUGGACAAUGGGCGAAAGCCUGAUCCAGCCAUGCCGCGUGUGUGAAGAAGGUCUUCGGAUUGUAAAGCACUUUAAGUUGGGAGGAAGGGCAGUAAGUUAAUACCUUGCUGUUUUGACGUUACCAACAGAAUAAGCACCGGCUAACUUCGUG
This 484-nucleotide ribosomal RNA is filed under the name uncultured bacterium. Its description in RNAcentral is "partial 16S ribosomal RNA". It matches the Rfam family "Bacterial small subunit ribosomal RNA", at positions 30 to 507 of the family's 1533-position model. The record is from RNAcentral.